Molecule: long non-coding RNA, 15595 nt
Organism: Passer domesticus (house sparrow)
Lineage: Eukaryota; Metazoa; Chordata; Aves; Passeriformes; Passeridae
Exons: 4
Source: RefSeq, a predicted model, not a curated record
GCGCUCGGAGCGGGGCUCGGAGCUCGUUCGCAGCCGGCCGUGGGUGCGCUCGGAGCGGGGCUCGGAGCUCGUUCGCAGCCGGCCGUGGGUGCGCUCGGAGCCCCAGGCCCCGCCACACGAGCUCCGUGCCCUCGCAGCGCUGCCCCCGCGGCCCUGCGGAGCCCCGGGCUGCAGGACACGGGGUCGCUUUUCAGCGUGAUUCCCUCGCUCCGUUACGGUGUUGGUGCCGGGCUGGAGCGGACGCGUAAGCACAGCCUGGUCCCGCUGGCAUGUGGGCCCUGACUGGUGCCCAGAAGUUGUUCCUUGAAGCCAUGCGGUGCCGUUCAGCGUGCGCUCGCUGUAAAUCCAGGGUUGAUAGCUCGUUUUCAAACGGAGUGCAAGGCUCUUUCUGUGGCGUUGCUUAAUUGUUGGGUUUUGUCCACAACAAGCUGAACUAUAUCUGCUUUUUGUGCCACCCGAAACGCACUAAAAGCCAAAUCACUAGAAUGACUAAAACACACACUUAGAAGGAAAGUAGUUGAUGUCUACUUCACUGCAAACUAGUUUGUAAGUGAAAAGCAUUCUGGCUUGGCUAAUGAGCAGCGCUAUAUGGUAGCUGUACAUUUCUGCACUACUCUUUUUCUUAUUAUUUUAGUGUCCUCUUGUGGAAAAAUGCAGUACUGAGGAUAGUUUUUGGUUUUGUGUCCAUGAAGGUUUGGGGUAAUUUUUGAAACCCAUUGUACAGGAGGCUGCUGAAGAUUUGAUAAAGUUGAAUGAUCUCAUCUCCCCUUUCAUGUUCCUUAGUAUGUAACUUAGGUUCCUCUCUGCUUUCUCAGAGAUAAGUGGCAGCUUUUACAAUCAGGAUAUGUUACUAGUGUUUCUAUUUGUAUGGUAUAUUAAUGCUUUAAAAAAAGGUUUCAAGACAGUAAUUUCUCUAAAUCAUAUCAGUGGUUUUAUUUUCAUCUUUCAAGUAUGCUGUGGAAAUGCUGUUUCUGGCUUUGUUGUGGUUUGGUUUUGUUUUUUCUUAAAUUUUUCCUCCUUGAAUUAAGCACAGAGAUCUUCUCAUUGAAAAACUUAAAGCAGUUUUUAAGUAUAUUUCUAACCCGUUUUGCAUUAUAUAACUUAAUGGGUUCAAGUUGUUUAUCUUGUAAAGGUCAGAGGGUUCUUUGGCACAGGAGCUCUUGCCCUGUGGGUUUGAAAUAUGUUGGACCUGAAAGCCCCUCAUCUUAGACCUUUGAGCUCUAUUAUGAUAAAAUAAAGUACUGAGACAGGAACCUGAGAGUCCUGUGCUGUUAAUGUUACUUCAUGUUAGCACGGGGUUUUGUAGAGCAAAACCCUCUACAAGAGGAAGAAAAAUAUCUAAAAUAGUGGGGGUUUUAAUAGGAAAGGCAGUAUGAAAUUAAUGAACUCGUUUCAUUCUGAAAAAAGGUGUUUUACUGCUGCUUAUCAGCUGUGUUGUGCAUUAAAAGGUUUGGGAUUUAGUUGGGGUUUUAUUUGAGGGGGACUUCUGUAAGCAUCUAGGUAUGAGAAAAGGUAUAACUGCAGAAGAAGUGAGAAGUGAUGUCAGGAUCUGUAGCUGCUUGAAGGAGCACAGCUGCCUGGUGAUCUCCAGUUGUCCAGAGGUGUCCAAAGAUCCAGGAGACCAGCGAGCAGGUGCUUGAGUUGAAGAGCCAGAGCAGAGCCAAGCUUCCAGUGCAAGGGAUGCAACCACUGAAGCAAAACUCUGUGUGACUGACUGCCCUGCUGUAAUUUCCCCUCUCCCCCCACUCUGGGGACACACCCCACAGAACUUCUCAGACUGGGAGGAUUCUUCCUCUGGGUUAUAAGGAAUCCAGAAUUCAGGGACAAGAAGCUUUCAGUGAUGUUGCUUUGGAAAGUUCUUUUGACUCUCUAAAACGUGAUGUUCUUAGAGGUUAUUUUUUCUGCCGUUUGUGCAUAACAAGGGAAAAAACUACAGAACUGAAUGACUUUAUUUGAAAUAUAUUGUUAUAUUAGAAUAAAGAGGUAGGUACCACAAAUAUGUGCCUGCCAGAUAAGAAUCAGGAGUUGUUCUUUUAAGAAAUGCUUUGUUAGAUCCUCCUGUCAACCUUUAAAACUGUGCAAACAUCCAGUGUAGCAUGUGUGCAUAAAACAUCUUUAAUGGAGUAAUAAUCUCUAGUUAAUAAUUAAAUCUCCAGGAGCUUUUGUAAUUUGUGGAUGCUACAACAUUUAAUCUCUUUAUGUGAGACUUCUUAAAGAGGAAUAUUCAGUAUUUAAUUUUCAUGAAGGGAAUCCUGGCCUUACAUAAAUGCUGAUUUAAUAUAGCACAGGUUUAAGUUGCUAUUAGGGUGAAGGAGAAGAACUGAUGUCUCAGACUGCAGUUGAUGCUGGAUUUGCAGGUACAGGUAAAUUGGUUGGGCUGUUGCUUGUCAGACUUGCUCAGAGACACAUUAAUGAGAGUCACAAGUGCUGCAUUGUGUCAGUUUUCAGUCAGUGCAAUGCUUGUCACACUAAUGUGUGCACUGGAUUAAUGGACGUGCUGUCAGUGUGCUAAAGUAAAUGGCAAACCUCUGUUUUAAAGGAUGCUGAACUUGUAAAUUAGUCUGUAGGAAUGGGAUAUCUCUUUAAAGAUUGUGCUCUUAUCAUUCCUCCUUCUCUGUAAGGAGUCACUGACUCUUGUCCCAAGAUUUGACAAGUAAUUAAUAAAGUUUUGAAGAAAGUUCUAAGAACAAAAUGGAGUGCUGCCAUCUAGCUCUUUCAUAUGUGCAGUUAGAUGCUGUAAACUGAUUUCUUUCCCAAAGCAAUGUUAGCCUACCUCUUUGAAAUGGAAAGCCUAUGGAAAGAGGAUUGUGUAGAUUAAUGCCAUGGAUUUGGGAUGUCUUCUCUGAAAACACCUGUUUUUGAUUUUUCAAAUAGGCUGUCAGUGGGAGAUCCACGUCCUGUUUCAGAGGUAGAACCAACUUGCUUGGUUUUUCCUGUAUUGUCCUGUUAAAAACACCCAACAAACAAAACCACAAAAAAACCCCAAAACAAAACACCAAAAAACCUCCUUCCCACCAGCUAACUAAAAAACCCAAAAAAUCCCCAAACCCUCAAAACCCCCUAAACCUGAAGUUUGCGGUCCUUGGCGAGUUGCUGCCAUUUUACCCAAAUGUCCCAGGCAUUGUGUGUUUGCCAGCAGUGGCAGUGUUCCCUCGGAGCUCUUCUGCACUGUCAGCACUCUCAGAAAAUACAGCCUCUUCCCUUUUCAAUUUUUGGCAAUUCCACAUCUGCUGAUAGAAGGGGAGGUGUGUGAAAGUUCAGGAUAUCACAGUCCAGCAGGUCAUUGCACUGCUGGUUACUUUGCUGUUUGAGCCUCAAGUAACUUUUCCCCAGAUACACAGCAAAAUCUGGGGUGUUUCUCUGAAAAUCUGCCUGCACCAUCCAGUCUUUUCAAUAAAGAAAGUUUAAAAAAAAAAAAAUCAGUAAGUUCAGUCCUUAUAUGGAUGGAGGGGAGAACUAAUAGGAAGAACAAAUAGAAUCAGUAGAAGUAAAAAAGAGAAAAUUAUAGAAUCCUGCAUCUUUAAAUGUCCUUUUUACUAGAUAAUAAUUUAUUUUAGCUCCUUAAGUAUGAAAUAGAUCAAUAAAAGGCUAAAGAGCAAAUUAAGGUCUUUGAAAAAAGAACACUGAUUAUUUUUAAUUCUUCUACAUCUGUUAAGAGGCUUUUAUAUUUUAGUAUUUUAGGCUGUUUUUGAAUGUGUUAAACACUUGAAUCAAGACACUCAUUUAAAGAUAAAACAUUUGUAUUUUAAAACAUAUGUAUUUUAAAACCCCCAUAUAGACUUUUGUGUCUGCAGAUGUAUAUGUUGAAGCAGAAUUUUAGAAAGUAAAGAAUUCAUUUGAAACAGUAGAGAAUGGUAUGGAAAAUUAAAACAUUAAAUGGGAAAUAUACUAUGGAAAUUUUCCUGUGGUUGUAAUAGGUCAAUAAGCAACCCUUUGAAAUUAAACGUCACGAGAUUAAGGAAAAAAAUUGUUUAUGUUCAGUGCUAAACAUUGUGUUCUGCAUUACUUAAGCAGUGUUUUCUGCCAUAAUCUUUAUGAACAGGCAAGUGCUUUUCUCUCCUCUGACAUGGUAUUUCAUGCCAAGAUCUUUUUGAUCAAAACCAGUAGGGGAUUAUUUUAAUUAAUUAUAAAUCAGCAGCCUAGAUUCAUUAACAUUUUUGUUAAAGAUUAUCUUAUUACUCUAGUUUUGAGACACUGGGUGUUCAGAUACUAGCUUAGGAAGUUAGUUGUCUUUUCCAUGAUAGCAUUAAUCUUAUGUUUGAAUUCCCACAAGAGUUUGGAAGUCAAGUUACAGUUAUAAAGAGAAGUAGAAAUACUGCAGAGAGUUUUGCAGGACCAGGCAAAACUCUCUGCAUGGUCCUGCAAAACUCCAUGUAUUCCUCUAUUAAAACUGAAUUCUUUCACCAGCUUGCCUUAAAAUUUUCAGCAUUGUGUGCUUGUGACUACAGAGCAGUUUCUGGCAUUAGGAGCCUAAACAAAACCCAGUGCCAGGGUGUUUGACCUCUUGGUGCACUUGUCAAAACCUUCCUGGUGUCGCUGGGGGUGAAAUAUGUUUGGUAGCAGGCCAACUCCCACUUUGUGUGGUGAGAGUUUGGAAAGAGGUGUGGGCUGGGAUCAGCUGGAGUUUGUGAGCUCCAAGUGGAUCUCACACGGAGUUUGGUCACGGGGCCAGGCUGGCUCUGCUGGAUAUAAAACGUGCAGCAGCUUGGAAAUCUGCUGUCUUUUUAAAUGUGCAGCCUGGUGGAGUGCAUGCAUCCUUUCUGGAAUGUGGGCUCCCAUGUUAUCCAACUCUCCAAGGCUGGGAGGUGGCAGCAGGGUGAGGAGUCUCCGUGCACAGGAAAGGCUUGCCUAUGGGAAAGCAAGAAGGAAGGAGAGCUGCCUUGAAUUCAUACCAUGACAAUGAUUAAGUCAUCAGCAUGGUUCAGUUACUUUGAGGUUCAAAAAGAGCUCACUGUGACAUAGGCAGUGUAUUUAAAAGCACUGAGCUAACACUUCCUGCAUGUGAGGAAUUGCUGUUGCAUAGUCAGCCUGGAGCACAAAGGCAGCAGUAAACAGGAGGCUGUCCUGUGCCUGGGUUCAGUAUGCCCUCAGUGCUCAGGAGCUCUCAGUAGGGACAGUCAAGGUCUUAUUUAUAGCUGCCCUUGGCUCCUGGGGAAUUUAAUAGCUCGGGUUUGCACUAGGGGUUCCCAGUGACCCUUCAGACUGCAUCUGGUGACGUUUAAUACUCCGAGUGAGUGCUAAUUAUGCUGCUUGCAGCUCUUUGGACAGGCAGGAAGUGGUUUCCCAUCCUCAGCAUGCCCUAGCACAUAGAGAACAUUCCAUCCUCCCAGAGUUAGGUUCCUAGGUGGCCUUCCCCUGGAUGAAAGGUGUUUUCUUCAACUUUUCUUUGUAAGGUGUCAUGAUAAUCAGUGUAAAGAGGUAUUUGCAGCUGCCUGGGCUCCACCCCAUCCCCUCACUGAGAGAAGGGAGGAAAAGCCAUCUUUUGAAUGUCUCAAGUCCCAUGGCAUGGAGUACCAGGACAGUAGCUGCAGCAGGAUCUUGAUGUGAUCCCCCUUUGGCCUUGGCAGUGCCCAGCAGUGCAGACCUGCCAGCCUUUUCACUGGACAGGGCUGGGAAGCAGGAAGGGACUGUCACCAUCUCCCCAUUGCUGCUUGAUGGGUGCUUCCUCUCAGUGCUUGACACCACUCUCUGCUUUGCACUGCACUCUCAGAUAACUUUCUGCCACUGGUGAUGGGAGGAACUUCGUAUUUCACAGAGUACUGGGCUGGACCUGGUUAUUUUAUAGCUGGUUUAGGACCUCUGAGGGGAGGGAAGGUGCUUUUCAUCUGCCCUCAUUCCUCACGCCAGGGCUUGGAGCAGGCUGUGCUGAGACCUUUCUAAAGCAGCUUUUAGGCAUUCUGUGCAUAGCUGGUGGGAGGCUUGGUCUAAAACCAGCUGCUUGCUGCGUGGUUCUCCAAGCUCAACCUUGUCCUUGUUUUGCAAUGUGCUGUGUCCUGAACAUCUGCAGCCUUUGGGGCUUUAAGGGCCACUCUGCUGUGGGGGUUGCUGAGCUCUUUCUUGCAUUAAUUAAUGUAGCUUUACCUUUGGCAGCAGCGAAGGGAGCUGCCAGAGGUCUUACGUAGCAUUUAAAAUGUCAGCUGCCAGUCCACAGCAGCUGCCAGCACUGGAGCUCUGGCAGGGGAAUGUUGUCACAGGACAAAUGCAGGGAAUGUCAGUGUGGACACAGCGUGAGUCAGUCAGGGCAGGACUUUGUGUACAGAGUAUCCUGACGUUGGUGAAUGCCCUCUGAAAUCUCCCAGCAGGCUGGCUCCCGUGUUGCUUUGGUCAUACUCAGGGAAAUGCUGCUGGCUCCUGGCUGCUGUGGUUUGUAUUCAGCCCUGAGUGUAAGUAGUUGUCAGAGAGUGGGGUGUGCACUGAUAAAGUAAUCCCGUGGUGCUGGGAGUCUCUUCUGUGUGAAAGAGUAGGACAAAGCAUGGGUGGUAAGAGUGUUGAGAGAAUGUAAUUUCUGAAAGCAAUAAUUUUUGUCACUUGUAUCUGAAUUUUAAUUCUUUUUAAUGGACUUUUUCUUUCAAAUGUUUGUAAUUUAUCUGUUGAUUGAACUAACAUGGGAUAAAUAAUAAAAAAAUUGUAAUAACUGUUCUUGCUUGUCAUCAUUGCCUUUGUGAAUAGAUGUGUCUGGAGAGCAGUUGUUUCUUCAACAUUUAGAUUAGAAGGCUUGGCUGCAGAAUUGGAAUCUUGUAUUUGCUGUUAGUAUGGGAAAUAGAUUUCUUUCAAUAUUGUUAUUUCUUUGCAAUGAAUUGUGCUGGCUGUUUUAAGUUAGAUGCAUACCCAUUUACCUCUCACCUGUGAUUUAAACCAGCCUUCUUAUUUGGGCCUGUUGGAUGUAAGCACAUCUUCCAAAGGUGUCCACAUAGGUUCCAGAUAAUCUGGACUGAAUCCAAAUCCUUUCCCGAGUCUUAAGUCUUCAGCAGAGCAUUCUUUUCUGUGCAGUUGUUAAAGGAAGAGGGCUCCUUGGGGUUGUGGGGGUGGCUGGUUACUCAUGUAGAGUGAAUCCUUGGAAUGCAGGGGUGCACGAAUCAGCAGGAUCUCAAUGCCAGGCCCAGAGAUAUAAUCAUAGGCUGGCUACUGCAGUAUUUACCACAGUGCUUUACAUAUGGAAUUAAUCUGUGCCCUUCCUCCAUGCUGGAAAUGUGUGCCUUUGCAUAGGUGCUGGCUUUGUGUUCCUUAUGGGAACAAAAGAUUUAUGUUAAGCAGCUCAGACCAAUUUUAAAUUUUUACAGGCACCUAGAGCUGUGCUUUUGAUACCACCAGCAAUGCAAAUACCUACAGGAAACCAAAUUCCAGACUUGCUAACGGAAUGCUCUUUACUAGGAUUAGAGUCAUCCAGCAACUUUUUGAUGUUCUAGGUUUGUUUCUACCUACAAGAAAACUUGCAGACACAAUAAAGCUCCUGUCCUGCUCUGCAUCCCAGAUCUGGGCUGUAUGGCAGAUUUGUCCUUUUUCAGUCUAGGAGGGUUUCUCAAAUGGGAAAAUGCAAGCCUCAGACUGUCAGAGGCUUAUUGUCCCUACUGCCCACGAAGGUAUAAACAAAGAUAAUCAAAGCAGUUGUAUUUGUCUUUUAGGGUUUUUAUCUCUUCUGGCCUCUGAAUUCUAAGAAAAAUAAAAGCAUGAUGAGAAUAUACUUUUCUAACUGCAAAUUUUCUGCUAAAACCCUGAUCAUUCUUCAGUCUGUUCUUCCUUAUUUUAUGGCUAUUUCCUUAGCCUCUUCCUUCAGAGACAGGCUGAAACUGUAGUUUGUCUUUUGUUAAUCUGUUUUUUGUAUCCCCAUGCUAUUUAUUUUCAUGUAUUUGAAUUUACCCAGGAUGGCACUAAUGUAGUACACGUUUCAGGCAUGAAGAGGUUAAUGAAACUUUAACUGACUGCCUCAUGAUAGCAUCCAAGUUCUUGGCAACCUCAGAUGGUGGUUCCUGCCACAUACAAGGACUUUUAUCCUCUUUGAUUGCCACAUUUCUAUACAGCCAAAGUAGAUUUAACAGGAUCUUUAGGGGAGUCCUUUAUACAGUCCUUGGCUGUAACAGCACUUUUGUAGUGCCUCUUGAAAACUGAAAGGGCAGCUUUUCGUGAGCAGUCAAAAGUGAUUCAGAUGCUGAGUUUUCCAGAACAGAAGACAUGAAUCCAGUGCCAGAAAACAGAUACUGUAGGAAUUGUCCUUGGUACCAUGACAUGUGUUCAUCCUGGGCAUCUGUGAAGUCCUACAGUAACUCACCGUGUCUUGGAUACUUGGCUCAGCUCAGAUGGAGAUACUUUUGUACAUCUUCCCCAUGACCGUGUAGCCAUGAGUGACACUCCUUCAAAAGAAGAAAGGAGAAAAAGGCUUUAAAGAAAAAAGAAAACGGAAGUAGAAUUUUGCCACUCUGGAAGUACCUUAAGUCUUUUCAGCUCCUUUGCACUUCAAGUAGAGUUGUGAAUGUUCACUGCUUGCCAAGAAAAGGUUUUUCUGACAUGAGAAUUCUUGUAGGAAGCUCAUCAGCUCAGGGGAGCUCAGGGAUUCAAGAACCUCUUAGUUCUUGUUCUGGUUCCCAAACUUCUGGAAUUGUCUGGAGCAGAAUCUGGGUUGUCCGCGUCCCCAGAGCUGUUCCUGGCCCCUGUGGGAGGCUGCUGGCUGUGGCUGUCGGGGUGGCAGGGCUGCAGAGGGAGUGUGAGCACACAGGGACCCCCAGACUCUGCCACCGAGUCCCACCAGGCGUUUGCUGACUCGGGAGAUGUCCUCGCUUGCUCUGCUGGGUGGGCUUCAUGGCUUUUCAUGGUUUGGAGGAAGAACAGGGUGUACACACCAUCCUUGCAAGCAUGUGCUCUGUAUUCCACGGCUCUAAUGCAUCUGGUUUGUUGUUUCGUUUUUUAAAAUUUAUUUCAUUUUAAUAGGUUCAAACCAGCAAAGUAAGUUCAGGUGUGUAGGAGAGGCAAAAGACUUGAGGGCAGACUGACAUUCUGAGGUGAGAUACAGAGAUAAAUCACAUUAAAACCAAAGCCCCUUAGCUUUGAAGGGACACUUGAGUGCUGGCAGUGUAAGGUUGCUUUUCAAGUGAAGUAGGUGCAUCUCCUGAGUCCAUUUUUUCAGAGAGUUCUCAGACUCCAGCAAAUUAAAAAGCUCCAUUUGUCAGCUGGGUAACCAGUUCCAGGAAAUGCAGUGAGAAGGUUUUGCUUGUAAAUGUGGGUCACAUCACCCUUUCCCCUUACCUGCUCCCCUCUCAGGCCAGAAACAUUCAUAUUUACAGGAAUGAACAUGGGCAUGUGGAGCACCAAAGCAUUCAGAGGCUGUUGCCCACAAAUUCACAACAGUUUUGCAGAUGGAGGAGAAGUACAACAUAUUCUAAUAUCUGAUUAACACAGUUUAUUUUGGGCUAUGAUUUCAAAUUAAAUAACUGAAUGUAGGGUUUGAAGACUCCAGAUUCACUAAGUAUAUUGAAUUAAAAAUAAAAUUUCAGGCCAUUGUUGUAGUGAAUAAAAGCAAUGUGUUUUACAGAGGAGGCAGUAGCACAUAUCUCUUGAUUCAGUCCUCUUCCAAGUAAUUGCAAAGAGCAGAUCUUGCUGUUAAGUGAAGCAACAAAAACAUUUUAUAAUUAUGUAGGGCCAGAUUGUCUGGUUUACAGUUUCCCAGUGAAGAACUGUUCUUUGGAGAGCCUGGGGUAGCCAGGCAAAGAGAAAAAGGUGUUCUUGGCUCACCCCAUGCAUGCUGGGGUGGUGAUGCAAGCUAAUGAAUACAUUACACAUAGUUUGCAACUGGUUAGUGCCAAAAUGUCUGAUAAUUGAGGCUGUAGUCCUUUCUUUCAGAGACACCAAAACAUUUUACUUCUGUGUGAAUAGCUGUGCUGUUCAAAGACAGGGCACGAUGGUGGCUUAUACUCUUUUUCCGAAGGAAUAAAUGAAGACCCAGAGCUGUAACAGACUGUGUCAGAGCAAGAACAAAAUCUAACAGCAGUGGUGGGCACUGUCUCCUCACCAGCUGCUCCAACUGCAAAGUGACAGAUUCAUUUCGGUAACACCUGUGAGGGAUUAUUAAAAUAACUUCUUGCAACAUAACAAAUUUGCAUGUUGGGAGAGCAGAGAGGUCACUGCUUGUGGCUACAACUCUAAACCCAAAUAGCAGAAAGCUGUUUCUGUUUUGAGGGGCUUGCAGGAAGAGAUGGAUUUUGCAGCCAGGAAGAGCAGGUGAUUUUUUUUUCUAGCAACAGUAAACCUUCAGGCGUGCUGAUAAAAUUAAUUUUAGGACAUUUCUCUGUACUCCCAUGUGAAAACUGAAUGUACAUAAACUGUGGUGUAUGGUGUCUAGAAUAUCAUACAUUUUCUAGUUGCUUUCAAGAAAUGAAACAUUAUAAAAUUGUAUUUUCUGCAUUACAUAUUAUAAACGUGGAAAUAGAAGAUUUAAAUACUCCAUUCACAAAUAUGGAGUCAGAAUAUUUUGAUCAUACUGAAGCUACUUUAUUUCUUUAUAAAAAUAGAUUCAUGCUGAGUGCAUGCAACACUUAAAGGGGCAUUUUCAGCUGUAAAAGCAUUGUUGGAAAAUUUCACUCUAGAUUUAAUAGCAGUCAGUGUUUCUUUAGCCCAUGCUAUGAAAUUCUGUCCAGCUGUAGGUGCUCCCAGUACUUGUCUUGAAAUCUGGUGUGUGUGCCUUUGGAUGAGAGUAUGGAGAAUUAGAAUACAGAGAUUUAGAAAAAUGUAAGAUACUAUAUUAGAAUUAGAAUAACAAUGGUGUGUUAUUUGGUGAAAAACUCGAGAAAUUACUUUGUUCAGUUUAGCUGUUCUUGAUCCCUAAUGUCAAGGACUGCUGGAUGGAUGGAAUAUCUGCCCAUGCAAAAGGCAUUUAAAAAAAUUUGCUUGGGUUUCCCACUCUUGGAAUUUAGAAGAAAGGAAGUGGAGUUCAGCAACUUUUAGCAUGAACUGCCUGUGGUUCCUUUGCUUUAAUUUCCACCUGAAAUACAAGUUCCCUUAGUUUUGAAUGCCCCCCUGCAAUUUAAAUUUUCUGCUCCACCAGGGGUGAGCUUGCUUUGAAGAAUUCUCAAUUCCUGGACAGUGUUGCCUGUCCUCUCCACUCUGUGUCCUAAGAGCUGGUUUUGGGGAGGGAGAGUGUCGGAACCCAGGACAUCUCUCUGGAUGCCCUGGAUGUCUCAAAGCCCUGGCAGGGGCUCGGAAACCCUGGCAGGAAGCCAAAGACACCUGGAAAUUUGAUCUCAACUCAUGGAGCAAAUUACCAACCUUAUAUGAAGAAUUACAGGCCACAAAAGUUUAAGUAGCAUAGUAGUAGCAAUCACAGGGUGAAGGGGAAAAUUUUGAAGCACUGUACAGGGGGGUUUUGUAUGUUGUACAGGGGGUUUGGAAUUCUGUACGUGGGGGUCAGGAGUCCCAAGAUGGAGGGAUUUGGGCAUGCCCUGUCCUUCUUCUUUCUUCUCCUUGGCAUCCAUGUUCAGGAUGAUGUUGGCAUGUGUGGAUUGGUUCAUGGUGAAGGUGCACUUGUCAACAAGGGCGAAAAGUAUUGGGAAUUAAAGGUAAAUAUCUAAUACAUAGUUUUUACUAUAAAAGAGACAACUGCCCCGUGGGCGGGAGAGAGUGCCUUUGGCUGUCUUGCUGAUCAGACCUCGGCUGGACAGACAGAAAAACUUUGUAGAUAAGGAACAAUAAACUCAACUGAAGACCAAAAGCAAGAGUCCAGACUCCUUCUUCGAAAGCGCGGCCUGCCCAGAAACACUUUUUCCGUGCUGGGGCAGAGACAACUGACAGCCGACCCCGACAGGAGAGCAAAUGUCCAGCUUCCAUCCCUGGCAGUUCCUGACCUGUGUGUCCCAGAUCUCCAGUCACUGUGGGUACAUCUCAGGAAUGAAAAUAAAAGUGGAUUUAAGCCUUCCCCUCACAAGAUGGCAGCAUCACUUCAGGGAAUAACUUCACCUGCACCAGUCAGGCCCUGGACAUUUGAAUAUUUCCAUUUUAUCCAGUAUGUGAAAAAAAACUCUGAUAGCUGUGCUCAUUUUUGUUACCUGAACUUGUAGAUCAGCAUCAGGCACAGGACUGGACGGGUUUCAUUCAUUUGCUGCUGUGUUUAUGGUGAAAAUUAAGAAUUGUGUUGAAACUAUGUCAUUAUUGUUGUGACUCCAGUUAAUACUGCAGCUGCAUUCCUGAGAUUUCAGCAGCAACAUUUGAUUGUUUCACAUGCACCAAGCAGAAUUAUCUUACAGAAAUUUAGUUUUACAGAAAUUUAGUUUCAGAUUCACACAUAUUUCCCUCCAUGUCCACUGAGUACUUUUAUUAAUUCAAGGCUUGAUCCUACUCUCCCUGAAGUCAAUAGCUGAGUCAGAAUUUUAGGGUAAGAACGUAAAAACAGUAGAAAAGAAAGGUCAUUAAAGUUGGGGUUUUAAUGGGUUUUUUAAUAUUUUUCCCUCUCUAUAUAAAUAAUGAGGAAUGAUGAAAGAGCUGCUGUUUGAGCCAUUAGAAUCAUUGACCUUCAGUUAACUCUGGGCAACACCUUUAUUUUAUUUCAGGGCAGCAUUGAUCAACUUCUAAAAGAAUUAGGUUGAUUUUGUUUCUGAUUCUAAAAAUGGGUUUAUCAAUCUGGCCUUACCCAUUAGUAACAAAAAGCUUGGAAAUACAGGAAUCCUCACUGUGUUUUUUAAAUGAAGUUGAGCUUCCCAAGACUACAAAUACUUUUUUUUUUUUUUUUAAUUACCAUUUUGAUUUUGAUUUUACAGCAUGAGUUGUCAGCUGAAGAAUAAUACUUUCUAAUUCAUAUGGUUGUUUUAUAACUUUCUUCAGAUAUUCCACUAACAAGACCAUUUUCAUUUUUAGAUCAGGAAAGCAUUUUUCAUGACGGCCUGGAAAAAUGCCUCUUUUAUAGUAAUGAAGAGGUACUUUGCUAUUCUGGAUAGCAACUGUUAUUAUUUCAAAUAUUGGCUGAUGUGCAAUAAUACUUUAACAAGAAAAUAUUUAAAGUCUUGUAUUUUCAUUUUCUUGAAAGCUUUUAUGCUGAGCACAAAAGGAAAUUCUUAGCUUUUCUUUAAAUUUCUCAAAAUCCACCAUGCUUAAGAUAUGGUUUUACUGACAGAUGGUCACUUUGUUUGCACUUCUAGGAUUAGGGCAGGUUUAGUCUGCAAGUAUAACUUUCUAACAGCUUAAAGUGUUGGACUUACUAUUCAGAGAUAUCAAAAUUCAUAUGUUUAAACUUUACCAAACUGGAUGCAUGACCAGAGUCUUUAAUUUGUUCUUUAAUGUACCUGGGGAUUUUUAUUGGUGCAGUUCUCCUCGUCUUCAGCAAUUCACAGUUCAGCAGCCCAAAAACAAACUUACCAUCAAGAUUGUUUACUUUUUUGGCUUUGAACACAUUUUCUAAAAUUGCUGAAGGAAGGAGGCCGUGGAUAUAAAGAUAUUGGGAAAAUAAAGUCAGGUCCUUGGGUGAUAAUGAUUGCUGAAUUCUGCUCUCUCCUCCCUACCCAGCAUGGAUCGUAGGGAAACAAAAGAAAUGCACCUGAUAUCUUCAUUUACGGAGCCUGGCAUCUCCACUCUAACAUACAUGCUGAGAUGUUGUGAGGACUGAACUGCAACACACAGGCAGCAGUGUGGGAGAGCUUCAGAAAGGCAGCUUCAAACACUGGAGGUUGUUUUGGCUGCUGCAGGUCAGCACACCUCCACCAUUCCCCCUCUCCUUGCUUAAAAAAGAGACAGAGCAUGGAUCUAACCUCCUGGUCACACAAAGCCUGUGAUAUUCCCCAGGAGCCUCCUCCCUCACUCAUCCUGGCAGCAGGACAAGUAUAGCAUUUAAAGAAAAUUGAAAGAAGUCCUGCUUUAAAGAGGAAGAUAAUUCAAGGGCUAGCCUGUAGGAGAAAGUUGAGAGAUUGUUUAAGGAAGUGAAAAAAUUGAGGUUAUUUGUGAUGAAAUGCACUAUUGAUCACAUUCACAUCCCACCCAUGCUGGUAAAAGUCAGAAGGUAUUUUUCACUAGGCUGCAUGAAAUUAAUUUCUCCUCUUCCUAGUGGAUGAGAAUUCUGCUUAUAAGUGGGUCUCACUGGUUUAGUCAGCAGUGAUCCUCUUUGUGGGUCUCUUUCUUUUAACCUAGAAGUGUUAACGCUCAUGUUUAAGUCAAUUUAUUUUUCCAGAAAGCAUUUAAAAAAUGUUUAGCUUUAACUGUGUUUUCAGGGCUAGCUGGAAACACACUUGAAAGACACAGGACAAUGAGGUGUUUCUAACCUUGGCACUUGUAAGACAAGUGCAAAACUUCCAUGAUGCAGCUUUUAUCACGUGUUAAUUCCAGAAGCAUUUGUGUCUACCUGACCCACAAACAAAUAGAUCUUAUUUUUAAGGACUUGAAAGUCAGUACUUUCCACAUAUGCUAAGUACAGAGCACUAAAAGAAAGGGCAGGUAUCAUUUUUCUCUCUGGUUAUUCAGAGGAUGUAAUACAAAAGCAGGUAAAGAGGACAAUACAGAUCUCAGAUUAUUUAAGGAAAUGCUGAAUUUUUGCUUUAUACUUGUUUAUAGUAGAAAAAAGUAUGUAUUUUCAUUGCUAGAAGAAUACUAACCCAAGUCUAUAUUAUGAUCCAUGUGUGCAAUUUUCAUAGAAUACCUUGGUAGUUGCUUGACUCUUGAAAGCCAUGUUGAUUGACUAGAAAUUGUCAGAAGAAACAUAGAAAUAAUUAGGAGCAUUUCCUUUUUCAAUACCUCACUUCAGUCAUGAAAGUAUUUGCAAAGACACUGUUGACUAUUACCAGAUUACAAAAUUUACUUCUUUCUCAAAACCAGUGGAAUUUUCUGCUUCAAAUUCCCAUCCCACUUUACUUCUCCAUGCUUUAAGGAUUUAUGCUGGAAUUACAAGGAUAGACAGAGGUGAACAUUAAAAAUUCUGUUUGUUCAAAUCCUGAUAAAGGUGCACCAUUGGAAAAUAGAUUCUUCAAAACUCUACGUAAUGUUAGAAUGUUGGAAAAUCAUAAAAAUGAUUUGGGGUAGCUGAGUACUGCUCAAAAUCAUUGGAUGGGUCUGCAUUCGGCUUCUAUUUUACUGCAAAUAAGAGAUACUGAAAUCCCAAACUUUUAAUUAAAGUUUCUUACCAUUUUAUAAUGCAAAUGUGUCAAAAAUCCCCAGAUUUACUCUGAGAAGGAUAAUUAGACAUAUGACCAAAAUGUCAUUAAUACUUUUGCUCAAAAACAUAAUUAGAGGAACAUAUGCUGUAUGGUGAAUUACAUUGUUUCAACUAAUAAAGUAAAGGAUUUAUUAGAAGUAGUCCUUGGGCCAGAUCUCACUUUCUGCUAUGACAGAUGUGGAAUAAACUUAAAGCUGAAAAAUGCCAGGAAAACACAAGCUAUUGUUUGCAGAGAUUUUAUACUGGCAUGUUUGAGAUGAGUGUCUGUUCUGUUUGCUGUAUAUGAAUUUUUAAGUGGUAAUAUGUAUGGUAACUACAAUACAUAUUGCUUAGUCCCAAGCAUUGGCUAUUAUAUUGGCUUGUCUGGAAAGUAGCAAUUACAAAAUUAACAAUAAAUUAAUAAAUGUUAUGCUUUACACAGUAUUGCUAAGAAGAAUUUUGGUAAUAUACUGCCAUUUGUAGAUGGGGGAGAGUGAAAUA